Molecule: ribosomal RNA, 484 nt
Filed under: uncultured bacterium
Lineage: Bacteria
Description: partial 16S ribosomal RNA
Rfam family: Bacterial small subunit ribosomal RNA
Source: RNAcentral
AUUGAACGCUGGCGGCAGGCCUAACACAUGCAAGUCGAGCGGAUGAAGGGAGCUUGCUCCUGGAUUCAGCGGCGGACGGGUGAGUAAUGCCUAGGAAUCUGCCUGGUAGUGGGGGAUAACAUCCGGAAACGGGCGCUAAUACCGCAUACGUCCUGAGGGAGAAAGUGGGGGAUCUUCGGACCUCACGCUAUCAGAUGAGCCUAGGUCGGAUUAGCUAGUUGGUGGGGUAAAGGCCUACCAAGGCGACGAUCCGUAACUGGUCUGAGAGGAUGAUCAGUCACACUGGAACUGAGCCACGGUCCAGACUCCUACGGGAGGCAGCAGUGGGGAAUAUUGGACAAUGGGCGAAAGCCUGAUCCAGCCAUGCCGCGUGUGUGAAGAAGGUCUUCGGAUUGUAAAGCACUUUAAGUUGGGAGGAAGGGCAGUAAGUUAAUACCUUGCUGUUUUGACGUUACCAACAGAAUAAGCACCGGCUAACUUCGUG